Molecule: ribosomal RNA, 484 nt
Filed under: uncultured bacterium
Lineage: Bacteria
Description: partial 16S ribosomal RNA
Rfam family: Bacterial small subunit ribosomal RNA
Source: RNAcentral
AUUGAACGCUGGCGGCAUGCCUUACACAUGCAAGUCGAACGGCAGCACGGGAGCAAUCCUGGUGGCGAGUGGCGAACGGGUGAGUAAUACAUCGGAACGUGCCCAAUCGUGGGGGAUAACGCAGCGAAAGCUGUGCUAAUACCGCAUACGAUCUACGGAUGAAAGCAGGGGACCGCAAGGCCUUGCGCGAAUGGAGGGGCCGAUGGCAGAUUAGGUAGUUGGUGGGGGAAAGGCUCACCAAGCCAAGGAUCUGUAGCUGGUCGGAGAGGACGACCAGCCACACUGGGACUGAGACACGGCCCAGACUCCUACGGGAGGCAGCAGUGGGGAAUUUUGGACAAUGGGCGCAAGCCUGAUCCAGCCAUGCCGCGUGCAGGAUGAAGGCCUUCGGGUUGUAAACUGCCUUUGUACGGAACGAAACGGCCUUUUCUAAUAAAGAGGGCUAAUGACGGUACCGUAAGAAUAAGCACCGGCUAACUACGUG